AGCUCUGCGCAGUGGCAGUAUCGUAGCCAAUGAGGUUUAUCCGAGGCGCGAUUAUCGCUAAUAGAAUUUGAGGUUCAUAUUUUUAAGUCAUAGCCCUGGUAACAAAUAUUUUAAAUAAAACCAUCAGCAUCCCGUUACAUUUGACAUUUCCCUUGCGAUUUCUUACACAAUUUU
This 174-nucleotide small nuclear RNA is filed under the name Physeter macrocephalus (sperm whale). RNAcentral's name for it is "Physeter catodon (sperm whale) U4 spliceosomal RNA (ENSPCTG00005004626.1)". The stretch from base 1 to 124 matches the Rfam family "U4 spliceosomal RNA". From Rfam's summary of the family: U4 small nuclear RNA (U4 snRNA) is a component of the major U2-dependent spliceosome. Lineage: Eukaryota; Metazoa; Chordata; Mammalia; Artiodactyla; Physeteridae. The record is from RNAcentral.